AACGAACGCUGGCGGCAUGCCUAACACAUGCAAGUCGAACGAGACCAUCGGGUCUAGUGGCGCACGGGUGCGUAAGGCGUAGGAACCUGCCCUUAGGUUCGGAAUAACUCCCCGAAAGGGGUGCUAAUAUCGGCUAAUGUCUCAGGACCACAGCUUUGUUGCGCUUGGAUGGGUCCGCGUUGGAUUAGCUAGUUGGUACGGUAAAAGCCUACCAAGGUGACGAUCCAUAGCUGGUCUGAGAGGAUGAGCAGCAACUCUGGGACUGGGAUACGGCCCGGACUCCUGCAGGAGGCAGCAGUGGGUAAUAUUGGACAAUGGGGUGAAGCCUGAUCGAGCUAGGCCUCGUAAGUGAUGAAGUCCGUAGGGUUGUGAAGCUUUUUUACACGGGAUGAUAAUGACGGUACCGGAAGAAUAAGCACCGGCUAACUACGUG
RNAcentral lists this ribosomal RNA (433 nucleotides) under uncultured bacterium. Its description in RNAcentral is "partial 16S ribosomal RNA". It matches the Rfam family "Bacterial small subunit ribosomal RNA", at positions 29 to 507 of the family's 1533-position model. The record is from RNAcentral.